RNAcentral lists this unclassified non-coding RNA (213 nucleotides) under Hevea brasiliensis (rubber tree). The record is from RNAcentral. Lineage: Eukaryota; Viridiplantae; Streptophyta; Magnoliopsida; Malpighiales; Euphorbiaceae.
UCUUUGUGGAAGAGAAAGCUUUAUGAAGUGAUUUCGGAUCCAAUCACAAGGACCUUAUUUUAGUUCUAAACUCUAGAUAUGUAUGUUUGCAUGUAUAGUAACUAUUGGUCCAUGCNNNNNNNNNUAUUUGAUUAAUGUAACACAUUCGGUUUUAAGGAUGAUAAACUUGUGGAAAACUGUCUUUGGGAAUAAAACUUGAUAAAGCUUUCUCUU